GCCCAUGUAGCUCAGUAGGUAGAGCACGUCCUUGGUAAGGACGGGGUCGGCGGUUCGAUUCCGCCCGUGGGCUCCA
Molecule: transfer RNA, 76 nt
Filed under: Candidatus Omnitrophota bacterium
Lineage: Bacteria; Pseudomonadati; Candidatus Omnitrophota
Description: Candidatus Omnitrophica bacterium tRNA-Thr
Rfam family: tRNA
About the family: Transfer RNA (tRNA) molecules are approximately 80 nucleotides in length.
Source: RNAcentral